AUUGAACGCUGGCGGAAUGCUUUACACAUGCAAGUCGGACGGUAGAGGGGGCAACCCCUCGAGAGUGGCGAACGGGUGAGUAAUAUAUCGGAACGUGCCCAGUCGUGGGGGAUAACGUAGCGAAAGCUACGCUAAUACCGCAUACGAUCUACGGAUGAAAGCGGGGGAUCGCAAGACCUCGCGCGAUUGGAGCGGCCGAUAUCAGAUUAGCGAGUUGGUGAGGUAAAGGCUCACCAAGGCGACGAUCUGUAGCUGGUCUGAGAGGACGACCAGCCACACUGGAACUGAGACACGGUCCAGACUCCUACGGGAGGCAGCAGUGGGGAAUUUUGGACAAUGGGCGCAAGCCUGAUCCAGCAAUGCCGCGUGCAGGAUGAAGGCCUUCGGGUUGUAAACUGCUUUUGUACGGAACGAAACGGUGAGCUCUAAUACAGUUUGCUAAUGACGGUACCGUAAGAAUAAGCACCGGCUAACUACGUGCCAGCAGCCGCCGUAA
This 496-nucleotide ribosomal RNA is filed under the name uncultured bacterium. Its description in RNAcentral is "partial 16S ribosomal RNA". It matches the Rfam family "Bacterial small subunit ribosomal RNA", at positions 30 to 523 of the family's 1533-position model. The record is from RNAcentral.